Molecule: ribosomal RNA, 460 nt
Filed under: uncultured bacterium
Lineage: Bacteria
Description: partial 16S ribosomal RNA
Rfam family: Bacterial small subunit ribosomal RNA
Source: RNAcentral
CCUACGGGUGGCAGCAGUGAGGAAUAUUGGUCAAUGGCCGGAAGGCUGAACCAGCCAUGCCGCGUGAAGGUCAGUGCCCUAUGGGCGUUAAACUUCUUUUGUGCGGGAGCAAUAAUGGUCACGUGUGGCCAGACGAGAGUACCGUACGAAUAAGCAUCGGCUAACUCCGUGCCAGCAGCCGCGGUAAUACGGGGGAUGCAAGCGUUAUCCGGAUUUAUUGGGUUUAAAGGGUGCGGAGGCGGGGAGGUAAGGCAGCGGUGAAAUGCCCCCGCUCAACGGGGUGAAGUGCAAUUGAUACUGGCGUGCUGGAAUGCGGAUGCCGUGGGAGGAAUGUGUGGUGUAGCGGUGAAAUGCAUAGAUAUCACACAGAACACCGAUUGCGAAGGCAUCUCACGAAUCCGCGAUUGACGCUGAGGCACGAAAGCGUGGGUAUCAAACAGGAUUAGAUACCCGUGUAGUC